AUACGUAUGUCGCAAGCGUUAUCCGGAUUUAUUGGGCGUAAAGCGCGUCUAGGCGGCUUAGUAAGUCUGAUGUGAAAAUGCGGGGCUCAACCCCGUAUUGCGUUGGAAACUGCUAAACUAGAGUACUGGAGAGGUAGGCGGAACUACAAGUGUAGAGGUGAAAUUCGUAGAUAUUUGUAGGAAUGCCGAUGGGGAAGCCGGCCUACUGGACAGAUACUGACGCUAAAGCGCGAAAGCGUGGGUAGCAAACAGGAUUAGAUACCCUGGUAGUCCACGCCGUAAACGAUGAUUACUAGGUGUUGGGGGUCGAACCUCAGCGCCCAAGCUAACGCGAUAAGUAAUCCGCCUGGGGAGUACGUACGCAAGUAUGAAACUCAAAUGAAUUGACGGGG
RNAcentral lists this ribosomal RNA (392 nucleotides) under uncultured bacterium. RNAcentral describes it as "partial 16S ribosomal RNA". It matches the Rfam family "Bacterial small subunit ribosomal RNA", at positions 523 to 918 of the family's 1533-position model. The record is from RNAcentral.